Aspergillus carlsbadensis is the source of this 118-nucleotide non-coding RNA. The record is from the annotation of a GenBank genome assembly. Lineage: Eukaryota; Fungi; Ascomycota; Eurotiomycetes; Eurotiales; Aspergillaceae.
AGUCGCGUGGUCUAAUGGUCAUGAUUUUCCGUUCACACGUGACUAGUCACAUGAUGAGUCUAUUCUGCUUCACCACAGAUUACCGGAAAGGCUCCCGGUUCGAUCCCGGGCGCGACUA